GCCUCUUGGUCUGGGACAACUGUUGGAAACGACAGCUAAUACCAGAUAUUAUGAGAUUCUCGCAUGAGAAACUUAUGAAAGCUAUAUGCGCCAAGAGAGAGCCUUGCGUUCCAUUAGCUAGUUGGUGGGGUAACGGCCCACCAAGGCGACGAUGGAUAGCCGGCCUGAGAGGGUGAACGGCCACAAGGGGACCGAGACACGGCCCUUACUCCUACGGGAGGCAGCAGUGGGGAAUAUUGGACAAUGGGCCACAAGCCUGAUCCAGCAAUUCUGUGUGCACGAUGAAGGUCUUCGGAUUGUAAAGUGCUUUCAGUUGGGAAGAAGAAAGUGACGGUACCAACAGAAGAAGCGACGGCUAAAUACGUGCCAGCAGCCGCGGUAAUACGUAUGUCGCAAGCGUUAUCCGGAUUUAUUGGGCGUAAAGCGCGUCUAGGCGGAAAAAUAAGUCUGAUGUUAAAAUGCGGGGCUCAACUCCGUAUUGCGUUGGAAACUGUUUUUCUAGAGUACUGGAGAGGUGGGCGGAACUACAAGUGUAGAGGUGAAAUUCGUAGAUAUUUGUAGGAAUGCCGAUGGAGAAGUCAGCUCACUGGACAGAUACUGACGCUAAAGCGCGAAAGCGUGGGGAGCAAACAGGAUUAGAUACCCUGGUAGUCCACGCCGUAAACGAUGAUCACU
Molecule: ribosomal RNA, 675 nt
Filed under: uncultured bacterium
Lineage: Bacteria
Description: bacterial SSU rRNA
Rfam family: Bacterial small subunit ribosomal RNA
Source: RNAcentral